AAUAAAGAAAAAUGAGGACAUGAUCGUUCCAAGGUGGAGCUGAGAAGGAGAUUUAUUGUAGAUAUGAGAGAGAGCACAGCCAGAGGUUCCUGGAAGCAUCUAGACUGAACUGGGCCAGCAGCCAUGAGAGAUGAGGGUGAGGAGACCAAGAGAGAAAGGGGGUUGGGAGCUGCAGACCAAGAGACCAAGAGGCUAAAAGCACCAAGACAGCCAAGAGAAUGUGCAGCCAAAAUGGCUGGGUUAUCCAGGAGUCAGAGAUGUUGAGGAAAAGGAAGUGAAACUCAGGGGCUGGGGUGGUUUAGGGUAGGGGCAUGGGGUAUGCCAGGCAGGGUGACUCUUAAUAGACACUUGUGGAAUAUUUUAGGUUGUGUUACAUUUCUUCCUACUGCUUUUGGUUACAAUACAAACAAAAAAAAAAAACAAAAACAAAAACAAAAACAAAACGAAACAAGACAAAAAACAGGUUCCGUCUGUUUGAUUAAAUAAAAUUAACCUGUAGACAGGAGGCUGAGUCAGCAACCACCUGACAGGAAGUUGUAGGGAGGAGCCAGGUGUAGUGUGUCCUUAAGUGGGAGCAGGGCAGAAGGGCCCCUGGGUUUUCGGGAGAGUUGAGGAAGGGCAGGGUUAACUACUUGUGAUUCAGCCUCUUGGAGCCAGCAGAAUUUCACCUCAACCUUUAAGUCCUGAGUUCUAAAAAGGGAUAGAGAUCUAGAAAAUGUUUCCCUUAGUGGCUUUGAGAGAGUGGCUGUGUGAGGGGACAGAAUUUCUGUAGGCUGUGGCCCUUGCAGCUGAACCACUGCUGGUAGGAGCAGAAUUGCAGUUGUUCAGAGGACAGGGUGCAAUGUGCAUCGCUUGGAUCCAGAGCUGCAAUGCAUUCUGGUUAGUUUGCAAUCUUCUCAUUCUCCCACAGGAAUUCUGAUGCAAAGACAGAAUCAUAUCUUAGAAUGGAUUUUUUUUUUAACCACACAGAGUGAAAAUUAGAGACCUAUAUAGAAAAGGUUUCUGAAUUGAUUCUUUUUUUUUAAUUUUCUUAACCUUUAUUAGAUUUUUUUUUGUCAUAUGUGUGCACACUGUGGGUUAAAUAUGGGCUUGUACAUGCUAGGCAAGGGCUUAGUCACAUCUCUUCUUUUUUUUCCCAGAUUUUUAAAAAUUUGAAUUAGAAACAAAAUUGUUUUACAUGACAAUCCCAGUUCCCUUCUCCCUCCCGUCCUCUCCUACCACCACCCCCAACUGAAACCCUACCUAUCACAUAUCCUUUCUGCUCCCCAUGGAUGGUAAGGCCUUCCAUAGGGUGCCAUCAGAGUCUUUCAUAUCCUUUGGGAUAGGGCCUAGGCCCACCCCUGUGUGUCUUGGCUCAGGGAGUAUCCCUCUAUGUGGACUGGGCUCCCAAAGUCCACAUCUAUGCUAGGGAUAAGGACUGAACUACUACAGGAGGUCCUGUAGAUUUCUGAGGUUUCCUCACUGAAACCCAUGUUCCUGGGGUCUGGUUCAGUCCCAUGCUGGUAUCCCAGCUAUCAGUCUGGGGACCAAGAGUUCUCUGAUGUUCAGGUCAGCUGUUUCUGUGGGUUUCACCAGCCUGGCCUGGACCCCUUUGCUCUUCAUUCGUCCUUCUCUGCAUCUGGAUUCCAGUUCAGUUCAGUGAUUAGUUGUGUCUGCUUCUACUUCCACCAGCUGCUGGAUGCGGGCUAUCGGGUAGCAUAUAAGUUAGUUAUCAAUCUCAUUACCAGGGGAAGGCAUUUAAGGUAGCCUCUCCUCUGUUGCUUAGAUUGUUAGCUGGUGUCUUCUUUGUAGAUCUCCAGAAAUUUCCCUAGUGCCUGAUAUAUCUGUAAACCUAAAAUGUUUCCCUUAUUAUGGUAUCUCCAUUCUUGCUACUUCUAUUCAUCCCCUGACUCAAACUUUCUGCUCCCUCAUAUCCUCUGUAUCCCUCCUCUUCUCCCCUUCUCAUUCUCCUAGCUCCCUCUCCCCUCUUCCCGUGCUCCCAAUUUGCUCAGGGGAUCUUGACCCAUUCCCCUUCUCCAGGGGACCAUGUAUGUCUCUCUUAGGGUCCUCCUUGUUUACUAGCUUCUCUGGCAGUGUGGAUUGUAGGCUGGUAAUCCUUUACUCUAUGUCUAAAAUCCGCAUAUGAGUAAGUACAUAUCAUGUUUGUCUUUUU
Molecule: long non-coding RNA, 2152 nt
Filed under: Cricetulus griseus (Chinese hamster)
Lineage: Eukaryota; Metazoa; Chordata; Mammalia; Rodentia; Cricetidae
Description: lncRNA (ENSCGRG00015041972.1)
Source: RNAcentral